AUUGAACGCUGGCGGCAGGCCUAACACAUGCAAGUCGAACGAGUGGCGGACGGGUGAGUCAUGUCUGGGAAACUGCCUGAUGGAGGGGGAUAACUACUGGAAACGGUAGCUAAUACCGCAUCCCAUCAGAUGUGCCCCGAUGGGAUUCGCUAGUAGGUGGGGUAACGGCUCACCUAGGCGACGAUCCCUAGCUGGUCUGAGAGGAGGACCAGCCACACGGGAACUGAGACACGGUCCAGACGCCUACGGGAGGCAGCAGUGGGGAAUAUUGCACAAUGGGCGCAAGCCUGAUGCAGCCAUGCCGCGUGUAUGAAGAAGGCCUUCGGGUUGGAAAGUACUUGCAGCGGGGAGGCGUUACCCGCAGAAGAAGCACCGGCUAACUCCGUGCCAGCAGCCGCGGUAAUUC
This 406-nucleotide ribosomal RNA is filed under the name uncultured bacterium. RNAcentral's name for it is "partial 16S ribosomal RNA". It matches the Rfam family "Bacterial small subunit ribosomal RNA", at positions 29 to 526 of the family's 1533-position model. The record is from RNAcentral.